UACGUAGGGGGGCAAGCGUUGUCCGGAAUCAUUGGGCGUAAAGAGCGUGUAGGCGGCUCGGUAAGUCCGCUGUGAAAGUCCAGGGCUCAACCCUGGAAUGCCAGUGGAUACUGUCAAGCUAGAGUCCGGAAGAGGCGAGUGGAAUUCCUGGUGUAGCGGUGAAAUGCGCAGAUAUCAGGAGGAACACCAAUGGCGAAGGCAGCUCGCUGGGACGGUACUGACGCUGAGACGCGAAAGCGUGGGGAGCAAACAGG
RNAcentral lists this ribosomal RNA (254 nucleotides) under uncultured bacterium. RNAcentral's name for it is "partial 16S ribosomal RNA". It matches the Rfam family "Bacterial small subunit ribosomal RNA", at positions 524 to 776 of the family's 1533-position model. The record is from RNAcentral.